UUAGGAUGCAAAUCAAAAUACCCAGAGA
This 28-nucleotide non-coding RNA is filed under the name Mus musculus (house mouse). Lineage: Eukaryota; Metazoa; Chordata; Mammalia; Rodentia; Muridae. The record is from RNAcentral.